CUCAGGUGGGAACUCCUUUUUGCGAACCCCUAUUUGCUGCUUCAUCUCAGCCAUCAAAGUAAUCUCAACGGCUGGAAAGAAAAAGAGAGCUUACAAUAGAAAUGGGUACGCUGCAAUUCCCCUUAAGGCACGUAUCCUGGCACGCCUUUUCAAAUCCCGCCUUUUUCCAUCCAAUCGCGCCUAUUUUUUUCGGACUCCCUCUUUUUCCUCUCAGACAAAUUCUCCUCUCUCUCUCACCUGUUUAUUCUCUCUGUGAGUGGCGAUUAGGUUAGGGUUGAUAACAGUUACUGUUCACGUUUUUCCCAUCUCCUUCACCUCCUCCACGCACAUAGUACCCAUACACCGACAUCGCCUCCCUCAGACAUCUAUGAAUCCCAAGAAAAUCUUUAAGUUUUUAGAAUUCUAACCUUCAAAUAUAUUUCAUAAAAUCCUAAUUUUAAUUUUUUGUGUUCAUUCUCUCUCACGACUGCCUUCCUUGCCCGCCAGUGUAGGAGGUAAAGUGAGGGGCCUUGGCUCUGUCUUGGGCCUGUUUCCCUGUUACUUGGAUCUGUUACUCUAUUUUGCUGUUUCAGUGAGCUUUUGUUGUUGUUUGGGAUCGUAAGAUGUUUUUCCGUAGACUAGUUUUGGCCUCGACGGCUCUCUUUCUCGCCGGCGCUCUCUUUCUUGAUGUCUCUCUCUCUCUCUCUCUCUCUCUCUCUCUCUGGUUCGCUCGGUCUCGCGCUCUCUCUCCAUGGGAGCCUCCCUUCCUCCAUGGAUCCAUAGGAAACCCUGACUGUCUCUCCAUCUCUCUCUCGCCGGCUCUGUCUUUCGACUGGUCUCUCUCGCCGUCAAACCUUCCUCUAUUCCAUAGAGAUGAGAAUCAGAUCUCUUGGUGUUUGUGAUGACUUUACCUUCCAACUUCCUACCAACUGUCUUAUGUUAAUGGAAAUUACAGAAACCCAUUUGAUUGAAACUUGGCAACAAAGAGAAUGCUCUGUGUAAGUUUCUGAACCAAUAUUUCUUUUUUGAUUUUUCUCCGUUUCCUUUGUAUCUGCCAGGAAAUGCAUUUAAUUAUUCACUAUCGAUGUGACUUGGGCAACAGAUGAGAUGAAUAAGGGCAUUUUGUUGAUAUGGGGCAGUAUUAUGAGAUAAAUAUGCAAUAUUUUGCUGAUAAUUCAAAGCUUAAGAAACAUGGCUGUAAGGUGAGAAAACACUAUCUCUAACUUAGCACAAAAGUAUUGGCAAAAUGUGAAUUAUGCCAUUUUUACGUUUUGUUUCUCCAUCAAUUUGAUGACUUUGUAUCUGUAUUCAGUUUUAAGUUUUAACAGGUUUGACCACCUAAGCUGUCUCCACCACCACCAUAUCCCUUUAGUUUUCUAAUUGUUAAUUCAGUUUGUUAUGUAAUUUUGAUAUAUUGUUCAUGUUUGGGUAGUGUUUGAGUAUUUCUAGUUUAAGCCUCAAUCUAAAACUGUGAUGUGUACAGGUUUUCUGUUUUCUUAAAAAAAUAGAACAGAGACUUUGGCACAUCUUUUCUCAAAUCGGCUGAUUCCUUUGCUGCAAUAGGUCAAGGCCCUCCUACUGCAAACUCUCCUUCUUUUGGUCCUUCACUUUGAGCUCAAAAUGCUCAUCAUCUUUUGAAACAGAUGUGGCUGCUUCAGUUACUGAGAAUAUGCACCCUACCUAGAAGACGCAGAAUAGUGAACGUAUUGUGCAGCCUAAUACGACAAAGGCAUUUUUUGCAAGACUUUGAUUUAAUGCACGGACCCUGCAUUUGAGUAGUUAUCGUUACAUUUUCACAUGAUUGUUGAGUUUUAAUCAAUCGUUUGUGAGACUUUUUUUUUUGGUCUGAAUCGUUUGUGAGACUUAUGUAUGUUCAUAUCUGAUACUGAAGGUUAAUCUAAAAUUGACAUAAACUAGCC
Molecule: non-coding RNA, 1898 nt
Organism: Prunus avium (sweet cherry)
Lineage: Eukaryota; Viridiplantae; Streptophyta; Magnoliopsida; Rosales; Rosaceae
Source: RefSeq, a predicted model, not a curated record